This 337-nucleotide unclassified non-coding RNA is filed under the name soil metagenome. Its description in RNAcentral is "partial contains 5.8S ribosomal RNA, internal transcribed spacer 2, and large subunit ribosomal RNA". The stretch from base 1 to 120 matches the Rfam family "5.8S ribosomal RNA", at positions 35 to 154 of the family's 154-position model. The record is from RNAcentral.
GAUGAAGAACGUAGCGAAAUGCGAUAAGUAGUGUGGAUUGCAGAAUUCAGUGAAUCAUCGAAUCUUUGAACGCACAUUGCGCCCCUUGGUAUUCCAUGGGGCAUGCCUGUUCGAGCGUCAUUUGUACCUUCAAGCUUUGCUUGGUGUUGGGUGUUUGUCUCGCCUCUGCGUGUAGACUCGCCUCAAAACAAUUGGCAGCCGGCGUAUUGAUUUCGGAGCGCAGUACAUCUCGCGCUUUGCACUCAUAACGACGACGUCCAAAAGUACAUUUUUACACUCUUGACCUCGGAUCAGGUAGGGAUACCCGCUGAACUUAAGCAUAUCAAUAAGCGGAGGA